UACGUAGGUGGCAAGCGUUGUCCGGAAUUAUUGGGCGUAAAGCGCGCGCAGGCGGUCCUUUAAGUCUGAUGUGAAAGCCCACGGCUCAACCGUGGAGGGUCAUUGGAAACUGGGGGACUUGAGUGCAGAAGAGGAAAGCGGAAUUCCACGUGUAGCGGUGAAAUGCGUAGAGAUGUGGAGGAACACCAGUGGCGAAGGCGGCUUUCUGGGCCUUACCUGACGCUGAGACGCGAAAGCGUGGGGAGCGAACCGG
RNAcentral lists this ribosomal RNA (253 nucleotides) under uncultured bacterium. RNAcentral describes it as "partial 16S ribosomal RNA". It matches the Rfam family "Bacterial small subunit ribosomal RNA", at positions 524 to 776 of the family's 1533-position model. The record is from RNAcentral.